This 138-nucleotide small RNA is filed under the name Streptomyces sp. DvalAA-14. Its description in RNAcentral is "gntR-DTE RNA". It matches the Rfam family "gntR-DTE RNA". Lineage: Bacteria; Bacillati; Actinomycetota; Actinomycetes; Kitasatosporales; Streptomycetaceae. The record is from Rfam by way of RNAcentral.
CGGGUGAUGUUCGUCGGCAGCGGUGCCGCGCGUCGGCGCGGUACGCACCGCACAUCGGCUCUGGACAACGCCCUCUUCUGGGGCGCCACUCGAUGUGAGCUGCCCUGCUGUGUGCCAGGCAGAGACAUGGCGCGCCCG